Molecule: ribosomal RNA, 491 nt
Filed under: uncultured bacterium
Lineage: Bacteria
Description: partial 16S ribosomal RNA
Rfam family: Bacterial small subunit ribosomal RNA
Source: RNAcentral
AGUGAACGCUGGCGGUAGGCCUAACACAUGCAAGUCGAACGGCAGCACAGUAAGAGCUUGCUCUUACGGGUGGCGAGUGGCGGACGGGUGAGGAAUACAUCGGCAUCUACUUUUUCGUGGGUGAUAACGUAGGGAAACUUACGCUAAUACCGCAUACGACCUACGGGUGAAAGCAGGGGAUCUUCGCACCUUGCGCGAUUGAAUGAGCCGAUGUCGGAUUGGGUAGUUGGCGGGGUAAAGGCCCACCAGGGCGACGAUCCGUAGCUGGUCUGAGAGGAUGAUCACCAACACGGGACUUAGGACCGGGUCCGGACUCCUAGGGAGGGCAGCAGUGGGGAAUAUUGGACAAUGGGGGCAAGCCUGAUCCAGCCAUACGGGGUGGGUGAAGAAGGCCUUCGGGUUGUAAAGCCCUUUUGUUGGGAAAGAAAAGCAGCAGGUUAAUACCCCGCUGUUCUGACGGUACCCAAAGAAUAAGCACCGGCUAACUUCGU